This 404-nucleotide ribosomal RNA is filed under the name uncultured bacterium. Its description in RNAcentral is "bacterial SSU rRNA". It matches the Rfam family "Bacterial small subunit ribosomal RNA", at positions 355 to 776 of the family's 1533-position model. The record is from RNAcentral.
UGAGGAAUUUUGCUCAAUGGGCGAAAGCCUGAAGCAGCUACGCCGCGUGAAUGAUGAAGUUCUUCGGAAUGUAAAGUUCUUUUGGCAGGGAAAAUAAUGAUUGUACCUGCAGAAUAAGCACCGGCAAACUAUGUGCCAGCAGCCGCGGUAAUACAUAGGGUGCAAGCGUUGUCCGGAAUUACUGGGCGUAAAGAGCGUGUAGGCGGCUUUUUAAGUCGUAACCUUAAAUACAGGGGCUCAACCCCUGUCAGGGUUCGAUACUGAUAAGCUAGAGAUUGGGAGAGGAAAGUGGAACUCACAGUGUAGCGGUGAAAUGCGUAGAUAUUGUGAGGAACACCCGUGGCGAAGGCGACUUUCUGGACCAUUUCUGACGCUGAGACGCGAAAGCGUGGGGAGCAAACAGG